AUACGGAGGGGGCUAGCGUUGUUCGGAAUUACUGGGCGUAAAGCGCGCGUAGGCGGUUUGCCAAGUCAGACGUGAAAGCCCCGGGCUCAACCCGGGAACUGCGCUUGAUACUGGCAUGACUAGAGGCCGGGAGAGGGUGGCGGAAUUCCCAGUGUAGAGGUGAAAUUCGUAGAUAUUGGGAAGAACACCAGUGGCGAAGGCGGCCACCUGGCCCGGUACUGACGCUGAGGUGCGAAAGCGUGGGGAGCAAACAGGAUUAGAAACCCGAGUAGUCC
Molecule: ribosomal RNA, 275 nt
Filed under: uncultured bacterium
Lineage: Bacteria
Description: partial 16S ribosomal RNA
Rfam family: Bacterial small subunit ribosomal RNA
Source: RNAcentral